RNAcentral lists this ribosomal RNA (495 nucleotides) under uncultured bacterium. RNAcentral describes it as "partial 16S ribosomal RNA". It matches the Rfam family "Bacterial small subunit ribosomal RNA", at positions 28 to 507 of the family's 1533-position model. The record is from RNAcentral.
GACGAACGCUGGCGGCGUGCCUAAUACAUGCAAGUAGAACGCUGAAGGAGGACCUUGCUUCUCUGGAUGAGUUGCGAACGGGUGAGUAACGCGUAGGUAACCUGCCUGGUAGCGGGGGAUAACUAUUGGAAACGAUAGCUAAUACCGCAUAAUAGUAGCUGUUGCAUGACAUUUGCUUAAAAGGUGCAAUUGCAUCACUACCAGAUGGACCUGCGUUGUAUUAGCUAGUUGGUGAGGUAACGGCUCACCAAGGCAACGAUACAUAGCCGACCUGAGAGGGUGAGCGGCCACCCUGGGACUGAGACACGGCCCAGACUCCUACGGGAGGGAGCAGUAGGGAAUCGUCGGCAAUGGACGGAAGUCUGACCGAGCAACGCCGCGGGAGUGAAGAAGGUUUUCGGAUCGGAAAGCUCUGUUGUAAGAGAAGAACGAGUGUGAGAGUGGAAAGUUCACACUGUGACGGUAUCUUACCAGAAAGGGACGGCUAACUACGUG